CGAAGUGUAUCUGAUAUACGUUUACACACAACGACACAUUUCCAUUAUGUCCUUGUUUUGGGUUUUUAACCGGUUCUUGCUCCUUCGUUCUAUUUUCUCUCAAAUAAAUAUUUUCACGGCAUGUACAAUCGAUUAUUAAAUAUAAACAUAUAAAUAUGAAAAAAUAUAUUUACGUUACAAUGAAAUUAUUUAUAGAAAUUGCAAGUUUAUUUUACAUUAUAUUCCUGUAAGGAGUAAAAGACUAAGACUAACCUUCCUCAACGGCUAAGGUGACAGUGGCUGAUCGACCCUCCGUCGGCCUGCAUGAAUAGUUCCCAACGUCAUCUUGAGUCACUGCCGCCAAAGUCAACACGGAUACCGUACGUGCCGCACCCCUUUCGGUCUCUACAUUUAUCCCUCCACGCGCUGCCUGGAUAGAGAGUAAACAAGUGAACUCGACGAUGAAGAUGUAGUCGGAAGAACUUGACACGGAACACGUUGCCGAGACCCUUUACGUUUCGCCAAAUUGCAUAUAAAAACUACUACAUUAGUCCUGUUAUAAAGUUUUAUGUAUCUAUGAAUAAAUUUGAAGAAAUUAGA
Solenopsis invicta (red fire ant) is the source of this 579-nucleotide long non-coding RNA. RefSeq lists it as uncharacterized. The record is from RefSeq and is a predicted model, not a curated record. NCBI's taxonomy places the organism in Eukaryota, Metazoa, Arthropoda, Insecta, Hymenoptera, Formicidae. The transcript has 2 exons.